RNAcentral lists this long non-coding RNA (303 nucleotides) under Ananas comosus (pineapple). RNAcentral's name for it is "long non-coding RNA (ACOM_LNC037470)". The record is from RNAcentral. Lineage: Eukaryota; Viridiplantae; Streptophyta; Magnoliopsida; Poales; Bromeliaceae.
GAGCUAUUUUCGAUAAUGUGACUCCCGAAUCAAUGAUCGGCUCCGCUAGACAUGAUUUAGCAUAUUUGAAGUAUGUAGAAAAUAAAUUUUGCGAUUUUUCGAUAUCGUUUACGUAGUGAUCGAAAAGAUUCAAAAUCAACAAUUUUUAAUGGUCGAUAUCUGCCGUUUCAAGUUUAACGGCAUAGAAGUAUCCAAAUCAAAUGAAAUUCUAAUAGAAAAUUCUUUAUAUUAUCUACAGCAAGUUUAUCUCUGAUUAAAAAUUUUAGUACUAUAUUACCACUUUUUAUGAGAUUUUUAUUUUUA